This 547-nucleotide ribosomal RNA is filed under the name uncultured Actinomycetes bacterium. RNAcentral describes it as "bacterial SSU rRNA". It matches the Rfam family "Bacterial small subunit ribosomal RNA", at positions 89 to 635 of the family's 1533-position model. Lineage: Bacteria; Bacillati; Actinomycetota; Actinomycetes. The record is from RNAcentral.
GGAUGAGUGGCGAACGGGUGAGUAACACGUGAGUAACCUGCCCCCUUCUAUGGGAUAACGGUCGGAAACGGCUGCUAAGACCGGGUAUUCACUGUCCUUCGCAUGGGGGGUGGUGGAAAGGUUUUUUCUGGUGGGGGAUGGGCUCGCGGCCUAUCAGCUUGUUGGUGGGGUGAUGGCUUACCAAGGCUUUGACGGGUAACCGGCCUGAGAGGGUGACCGGUCACAUUGGGACUGAGAUACGGCCCAGACUCCUACGGGAGGCAGCAGUGGGGAAUAUUGCACAAUGGGCGAAAGCCUGAUGCAGCGACGCCGCGUGAGGGAUGACGGCCUUCGGGUUGUAAACCUCUUUCGCUCAUGGUCAAGCCGCAACAGUGGUUGUGGUGAGGGUAGUGGGUAAAGAAGCACCGGCUAACUACGUGCCAGCAGCCGCGGUAAUACGUAGGGUGCGAGCGUUGUCCGGAAUUAUUGGGCGUAAAGGGCUUGUAGGCGGUUUGUCGCGUCUGCCGUGAAAUCCUCUGGCUUAACUGGGGGCGUGCGGUGGGUACGG